UCCCAUGGGGGUAACUCUGUGGGGGAAGUGGCGAAAGGGGCAGUAAAGCGUGGGUAACGUACCCCGGGGACCGGGAUAGCCUCUCUAACGAGAGGGUAAUACCGGGCGAUCCAGCGAAGGGGCAUCUCUUUGCUGGGAAAUGAAUUUCGCCUCGGGAGCGACUCACGUGCUAUUACCUAGUUGGUGAGGUAACGGCUCACCAAGGGAAAGAUGGCUAGCGGGUGUGAGAGCACGACCCGCGCCACUGGCACUGGGACACUGGCCAGACUCCUACGGGAGGCUGCAGUCGAGGAUCUUCGGCAAUGGGCGCAAGCCUGACCGAGCGACGCCGCGUGUGCGAUGAAGGCCUUCGGGUUGUAAAGCACUGUCGAGGGGGAGGAAGCCGCAAGGUUGACCUAUCCCUGGAGGAAGCACGGGCUAAGUUCGUGCCAGCAGCCGCGGUAAGACGAACCGUGCGAACGUUGUUCGGAAUCACUGGGCUUAAAGGGCGCGUAGGCGGACUGCCAAGUCCGGGGUGAAAUCUUUCGGCUCAACCGGAAAAUAGCCUCGGAGACUGGCGGUCUAGAGGGGGGUAGGGGCAGCUGGAACUUCCGGUGGAGCGGUGAAAUGCGUUGAUAUCGGAAGGAACGCCGGUGGCGAAAGCGAGCUGCUGGACCUUUUCUGACGCUGAGGCGCGAAAGCCAGGGGAGCAAACGGGAUUAGAUACCCCGGUAGUCCUGGCCCUAAACGAUGGGUACUAGGUAGUGGACUGGACAUGGGUUCCCUGCCGAAGCUAAAGUGCUAAGUACCCCGCCUGGGGAGUAUGGUCGCAAGGCUGAAACUC
This 823-nucleotide ribosomal RNA is filed under the name uncultured Planctomycetota bacterium. RNAcentral's name for it is "bacterial SSU rRNA". It matches the Rfam family "Bacterial small subunit ribosomal RNA", at positions 69 to 902 of the family's 1533-position model. Lineage: Bacteria; Pseudomonadati; Planctomycetota. The record is from RNAcentral.